AGCUGAGUUGAUCGGCUCAGGAUGAACGCUGGCGGCGUGCUUAACACAUGCAAGUCGAACGAGGUCCAUGGAGCUUGCUCCGGACGAUCUAGUGGCGAACGGGUGCGUAACACGUGAGAAACCUGCCCCGAUCUCUGGGAUAACAGUUGGAAACGACUGCUAAUACCGGAUGCCGUCACACCGCUUCAUGGCGGAGUGCCGAAAGAUUCAUCGGAUCGGGAGGGUCUCGCGGCCUAUCAGCUAGUUGGAGAGGUAACGGCUCACCAAGGCAUCGACGGGUAGCUGGUCUGAGAGGAUGAUCAGCCAC
RNAcentral lists this ribosomal RNA (307 nucleotides) under uncultured Acidimicrobiales bacterium. RNAcentral describes it as "bacterial SSU rRNA". It matches the Rfam family "Bacterial small subunit ribosomal RNA", at positions 1 to 311 of the family's 1533-position model. Lineage: Bacteria; Bacillati; Actinomycetota; Acidimicrobiia; Acidimicrobiales. The record is from RNAcentral.